Molecule: long non-coding RNA, 805 nt
Organism: Carassius auratus (goldfish)
Lineage: Eukaryota; Metazoa; Chordata; Actinopteri; Cypriniformes; Cyprinidae
Exons: 3
Source: RefSeq, a predicted model, not a curated record
AUCCAAAUUCCUGUCCCAACUGUAUCAGUUUUCUGAUGAUCAGCUGAAAGUGUUUACCAAAAAGGGUGGAGCGUUUAGAAAAAGCAUUCGGGAUGUGAUGGUGCCAAUGUCUCAGAAUGGAGACCAAGCAAGAGUGCAUUCUCAAGGGGCUAUGCAUCCACCUGAAUGAAGAUCCACAGGAUCUGGUGAAUGGAGUAUUUGGAUGAUGACCCUGCAAGAAACAAAGCGGACAUCAAGAAGACCUUUUUGGGGAUCUGUGUUGUAAAGCAUGAAUUUUCUGAUGCAACAGAAGACCCUGAAGAUAUCGGCAUUGUACUGGAAGAUGUGGAGGUGCUCUCUGGUUUAGGUAAUGUAGCAUUGGCUACAGCCCUGCUACUUGGACUAAUAUACUCUUUAAAUCUUACUCAUCCACAGGAGUUCCAUUACACUUUUAAGAUGCUCCAAAAAAUGAUUCUUGAACUGGACUUGUGUAAAUUGUCUGCCAAAGCACGGGCACUGAAAACAAAACUCCUCCGUUAGGUGUGCUGUGUUUGAGGAUCACUUUGUGAACACUGUGUUUUAUUUUCUUGUAAGCUCGUGUUAUUGUUGUACUGCAUUUUUGCAUGGUGAGCAGAGGUGAUUAAGUCUCUCAACCUCAUUUAAUUGGCUCACUCAUUGAAUCUCAUGUUAAAAAUAAAAAUAAAAUGCUGUUAUUCUCUUGUAUGCUCAUGUUUUAUUUGCAUUAUCAUUUUUGAACUUUGAAGAAGGCAUGCAAGGUUAAAUGUGCUCAAGUUUUCAAUACAGAUUUUUACAAAACUUAGUGACU